UCUCCGUAGGUGAACCUGCGGAGGGAUCAUUACAGAGUUCAUGCCCUACCGGGUAGAUCUCCCACCCUAUGUUAUUAUUACUUUGUUGCUUUGGCGGGCCGUCAGGCCUCGGCUUGGCUACCGGCUCUCGCUGGUAAGCGCCCGCCAGAGAACCCCAAACCCUGAAUAUCAGUGUCGUCUGAGUACUAUAUAAUAGUUAAAACUUUCAACAACGGAUCUCUUGGUUCUG
This 229-nucleotide unclassified non-coding RNA is filed under the name plant metagenome. Its description in RNAcentral is "partial contains small subunit ribosomal RNA, internal transcribed spacer 1, and 5.8S ribosomal RNA". The record is from RNAcentral.